UACGUAGGGUGCAAGCGUUGUCCGGAAUUAUUGGGCGUAAAGAGCGUGUAGGCGGCCUGAUAGGUCAGCUGUGAAAACUCGAGGCUCAACCUCGAGACGUCGGUUGAAACCAUCUGGCUAGAGUCCGGAAGAGGAGUGUGGAAUUCCCGGUGUAGCGGUGAAAUGCGCAGAUAUCGGGAAGAACACCCGUGGCGAAGGCGGCACUCUGGGACGGUACUGACGCUGAGACGCGAAAGCGUGGGGAGCGAACAGG
Molecule: ribosomal RNA, 253 nt
Filed under: uncultured bacterium
Lineage: Bacteria
Description: partial 16S ribosomal RNA
Rfam family: Bacterial small subunit ribosomal RNA
Source: RNAcentral